GAUGAAGAACGCAGCGAAAUGCGAUAAGUAAUGUGAAUUGCAGAAUUCAGUGAAUCAUCGAAUCUUUGAACGCACCUUGCGCCCUUUGGCCAUUCCGAAGGGCAUGCCUGUUUGAGUAUCAUGAACACCUCAACUCUUCAUGGUUUUCCAUGAUGAGCUUGGACUUUGGGGGUCUUGCUGGCCUGUGGGUCGGCUCCUCUCAAAUGAAUCAGCUUGCCGGUUUUUGGUGGGCAUCACAGGUGUGAUAGCUAUCUACGCUUGUGGUUUUCCACCAGGGUAACCUUCAGCAGUGGAGGUUCACUGGAGCUUACAAAUGUCUCUCCUCUGUGAGGACAGCCCUUUGAAUGUUUGAUCUCAAAUCAGGUAGGACUACCCGCUGAACUUAAGCAUAUCAAUAAGCGGAGGA
Molecule: unclassified non-coding RNA, 406 nt
Filed under: soil metagenome
Description: partial contains 5.8S ribosomal RNA, internal transcribed spacer 2, and large subunit ribosomal RNA
Rfam family: 5.8S ribosomal RNA (bases 1-121)
Source: RNAcentral